UUUCCGUAGGUGAACCUGCGGAAGGAUCAUUAUUGUAUAACCGAGGUGCGAGGGCUGUCGCUGACCCGAAAGGUCGUGCACGCCCGAGUGCCCUCACACACAUCCAUCUCACCCCUAUGUGCACCACCGCGUGCGUCCCCCUUUGGCUUGUUCGGAGGGGGGCUUACGCUUUCACACAAACUUUGUAUGCAGUGUAGAAUGUAUUUUUUGUUUUUGCGAUCCCGCAAUCAAUACAACUUUCAACAACGGAUCUCUUGGCUCUC
Molecule: unclassified non-coding RNA, 263 nt
Filed under: plant metagenome
Description: partial contains small subunit ribosomal RNA, internal transcribed spacer 1, and 5.8S ribosomal RNA
Source: RNAcentral